RNAcentral lists this ribosomal RNA (589 nucleotides) under uncultured bacterium. RNAcentral's name for it is "partial 16S ribosomal RNA". It matches the Rfam family "Bacterial small subunit ribosomal RNA", at positions 355 to 1376 of the family's 1533-position model. The record is from RNAcentral.
UGGGGAAUAUUGCACAAUGGGCGCAAGCCUGAUGCAGCCAUGCCGCGUGUGUGAAGAAGGCCUUCGGGUUGUAAAGCACUUUUGUCCGGAAAGAAAUCCUUGGCUCUAAUACAGUCGGGGGAUGACGGUACCGGAAGAAUAAGCACCGGCUAACUACGUGCCAGCAGCCGCGGUAAUACGUAGGGUGCAAGCGUUAAUCGGAAUUACUGGGCGUAAAGCGUGCGCAGGCGGUUUGCUAAGACCGAUGUGAAAUCCCCGGGCUCAACCUGGGAACUGCAUUGGUGACUGGCAGGCUAGAGUAUGGCAGAGGGGGGUAGAAUUCCACGUGUAGCAGUGAAAUGCGUAGAGAUGUGGAGGAAUACCGAUGGCGAAGGCAGCCCCCUGGGCCAAUACUGACGCUCAUGCACGAAAGCGUGGGGAGCAAACAGGAUUAGAUACCCCUGGUAGUCCACGCCCUAAACGAUGUCAACUAGUUGUUGGGGGAUUCAUUUCCUUAGUAACGUAGCUAACGCGUGAAGUUUGACCGCCUGGGGAGUACGGUCGCAAGAUUAAAGCUCAAAUGAAUUGACGGGGUCAUAGCUGUUUCCUG